UGGGGAAUAUUGGACAAUGGGGGAAACCCUGAUCCAGCGACGCCGCGUGGGUGAAGAAGGCCUGCGGGUUGUAAAGCCCUUUCGGUAGGGACGAAAGCUCUUGCCUUAAUACGGCAGGAGGUUGACUUAACCUACAUAAGAAGCACCGGCUAACUCUGUGCCAGCAGCCGCGGUAAUACAGAGGGUGCGAGCGUUAAUCGGAAUUACUGGGCGUAAAGCGCACGUAGUCGGCUUUGCAAGUCGGGUGUGAAAUCCCCGGGCUCAACCUGGGAACUGCAUCCGAGACUGCAUUGCUAGAGUAUGGGAGAGGGAAGCGGAAUUUCUGGUGUAGCAGUGAAAUGCGUAGAUAUCAGAAGGAACAUCAGUGGCGAAGGCGGCUUCCUGGACCAAUACUGACGAUCAGGUGCGAAAGCGUGGGGAGCAA
Molecule: ribosomal RNA, 424 nt
Filed under: uncultured bacterium
Lineage: Bacteria
Description: bacterial SSU rRNA
Rfam family: Bacterial small subunit ribosomal RNA
Source: RNAcentral